CAAGCAAUUACACUGGAGAGCUGUUGAAAUCCAUCGUGGGUCCAACAUUACUUUACAUGGACAGAGUGAUUGAAAUGCAUCUGGGAUGCUAUGUUUCAGUCACGACAGGGUGGGAGCCAGACAAGACCAGCAUGAGAAGAAGGGAGAUAGGCAGGCUAACAAGGCUCAGCAUGGAAGCAGACAGUAUCUAGCAAUGAGGAAGAAAAAGUGGUACACCAAGAUUAUAACUUCUAUGUCCCUAUCAGAAAGACUUUUGCCUUUCCAAUGGUGAGAGGAAAUAUUGAACGUGUUCUAUAAAUGCAGGAAGUACCCAACAAGUGCCACUACUGGAGAUGAUUAUUAGAAGCUGUAUGAUUACAGUGGUAUAGCUCAAGCAUGAAUCCCAUUCUG
Molecule: long non-coding RNA, 390 nt
Organism: Oncorhynchus gorbuscha (pink salmon)
Lineage: Eukaryota; Metazoa; Chordata; Actinopteri; Salmoniformes; Salmonidae
Exons: 3
Source: RefSeq, a predicted model, not a curated record